GACGAACGCUGGCGGCGUGCCUAACACAUGCAAGUCGAGCGGGGUUGAAGCGAGAGGUAACUCGAGUUUCUACCUAGCGGCGGACGGGUGAGUAACGCGUGGGCAACCUGCCUCAAGGUCUGGGAUAACAGCCCGAAAGGGCUGCUAAUACCGGGUAUGCUUGUGGCCUCGCAUGGGGCUAUGAGCAAAGGGGAAACCCGCCUUGAGAUGGGCCCGCGUCCCAUCAGCUAGUUGGUGAGGUAACAGCUCACCAAGGCGACGACGGGUAGCCGGCCUGAGAGGGUGACCGGCCACACUGGGACUGAGACACGGCCCAGACUCCUACGGGGGGCAGCAGUGGGGGAUCUUGCACAAUGGGCGAAAGCCUGAUGCAGCGACGCCGCGUGAGCGAAGAAGGCCUUCGGUUGUAAAGCUCUGUCUGGAGGGACGAAGGAAGUGACGGUACCUCCGGACGGAAGCCGACGGCUAACGUAACCGUG
This 479-nucleotide ribosomal RNA is filed under the name uncultured bacterium. RNAcentral describes it as "bacterial SSU rRNA". It matches the Rfam family "Bacterial small subunit ribosomal RNA", at positions 28 to 525 of the family's 1533-position model. The record is from RNAcentral.